This 420-nucleotide ribosomal RNA is filed under the name uncultured eukaryote. RNAcentral describes it as "SSU rRNA". It matches the Rfam family "Eukaryotic small subunit ribosomal RNA", at positions 592 to 1018 of the family's 1831-position model. The record is from RNAcentral.
CAAUAGCGUAUAUUAAAGUUGUUGCGGUAAAAAGCUCGUAGUUGGAUUUCUGUUGAGAACGACCGGUCCACACAACGUGUGCGCAUCUGGUUCGGUCUCGGCAUCCUCUCGCAGGACUACUCUGCGCUUGAUUGCGUGGAUAGGACUUCGGGACUUUUACUUUGAGGAAAUUAGAGUGUUCACGGCAGGCUAUCGCCAGGAUACAUUAGCAUGGAAUAAUACUAUAGGAUCUUGAUCCUAUUUUGUUGGUUUCUAGGAGCAAGAUAAUGAUUAAUAGGGACAAUUGGGGGCAUUUGUAUCAACACGCUAGAGGUGAAAUUCUUGGAUUGUGUUGCGACAAACUACUGCGAAAGCAUUUGCCAAGGAUGUUUUCAUUGAUCAAGAACGAAAGUUAGGGGAUCGAAGAUGAUCAGAUACCAU